Molecule: ribosomal RNA, 263 nt
Filed under: Escherichia coli
Lineage: Bacteria; Pseudomonadati; Pseudomonadota; Gammaproteobacteria; Enterobacterales; Enterobacteriaceae
Description: partial 23S ribosomal RNA
Rfam family: Bacterial large subunit ribosomal RNA
Source: RNAcentral
UGUAUAAUGGGUCAGCGACUUAUAUUCUGUAGCAAGGUUAACCGAAUAGGGGAGCCGAAGGGAAACCGAGUCUUAACUGGGCGUUAAGUUGCAGGGUAUAGACCCGAAACCCGGUGAUCUAGCCAUGGGCAGGUUGAAGGUUGGGUAACACUAACUGGAGGACCGAACCGACUAAUGUUGAAAAAUUAGCGGAUGACUUGUGGCUGGGGGUGAAAGGCCAAUCAAACCGGGAGAUAGCUGGUUCUCCCCGAAAGCUAUUUAGG